This is a small nucleolar RNA of Medicago truncatula (barrel medic), 83 nucleotides long. It matches the Rfam family "Small nucleolar RNA snoR20a". Rfam says of the family: The O.sativum sequence was obtained from the plant snoRNA database. NCBI's taxonomy places the organism in Eukaryota, Viridiplantae, Streptophyta, Magnoliopsida, Fabales, Fabaceae. The record is from Rfam.
GUCUAUGAUGCAUACUUUGUAUAUGGUUCAGAAAUGCAAGAUAUUGCAUUUGUUGAAAACUUUGAACUAGGACGGUCUGAGGC